UACGGAGGGUGCGAGCGUUAUCCGGAAUUACUGGGUUUAAAGAGCGUGUAGGCGGCCCGAUAAGUCCGCCGUGAAAGUCCAGGGCUCAACCCUGGAAUGCCGGUGGAAACUGUCGGGCUGGAGUCCGGAAGAGGCGAGUGGAAUUCCUGGUGUAGCGGUGAAAUGCGCAGAUAUCAGGAGGAACACCAAUGGCGAAGGCAGCUCGCUGGGACGGUACUGACGCUGAGACGCGAAAGCGUGGGGAGCAAACAGG
Molecule: ribosomal RNA, 253 nt
Filed under: uncultured bacterium
Lineage: Bacteria
Description: partial 16S ribosomal RNA
Rfam family: Bacterial small subunit ribosomal RNA
Source: RNAcentral